Molecule: unclassified non-coding RNA, 329 nt
Filed under: soil metagenome
Description: partial contains 5.8S ribosomal RNA, internal transcribed spacer 2, and large subunit ribosomal RNA
Rfam family: 5.8S ribosomal RNA (bases 1-120)
Source: RNAcentral
GAUGAAGAACGUAGCGAAAUGCGAUAAGUAAUGUGAAUUGCAGAAUUCAGUGAAUCAUCGAAUCUUUGAACGCACAUUGCGCCCCUUGGUAUUCCGAGGGGCAUGCCUGUUCGAGCGUCAUUAUAACCCCUCAAGCUCAGCUUGGUGUUGGGGCCUGCUGCACUGGCAGCCCUUAAAAUCAGUGGCGGCGCCAUCUGGCUCUAAGCGUAGUAAUUCUUCUCGCUAUGGAGUCCUGGUGGAUGCUUGCCAUCAACCCCCAAUUUUUCUAUGGUUGACCUCGGAUCAGGCGGGGCUACCCGCUGAAUUUAAGCAUAUCAAUAAGCGGAGGA